UUUUGCAGGAUAACAUUGUCGAGAAACAGAAUACUGUACAGCUUUCUAGUCUCGCUGAACUUAAGAAAAAGAUCGACGCAAGAGCUAACAAACAAGAUGAGCAGAGACCAGGAACAUCUACUCUAAGACUUGCACCAAAGAGGAAGGCAGGGUCUGCUCAAAAUGAUCAUGUCGAUCAGGACGACCCGCCACCAAAACAGACAAAGGUAAGUUUCCUUCUAGUUCCUUGUCCA
Frankliniella occidentalis (western flower thrips) is the source of this 233-nucleotide long non-coding RNA. RefSeq lists it as uncharacterized. The record is from RefSeq and is a predicted model, not a curated record. The transcript is spliced from 3 exons. Lineage: Eukaryota; Metazoa; Arthropoda; Insecta; Thysanoptera; Thripidae.